This 488-nucleotide ribosomal RNA is filed under the name uncultured Propionibacterium sp. RNAcentral's name for it is "partial 16S ribosomal RNA". The record is from RNAcentral. Lineage: Bacteria; Bacillati; Actinomycetota; Actinomycetes; Propionibacteriales; Propionibacteriaceae.
CACGUAGUUAGCCGGUGCUUCUUUACCCAUUACCGUCACUCACGCUUCGUCACAGGCGAAAGCGGUUUACAACCCGAAGGCCGUCAUCCCGCACGCGGCGUUGCUGCAUCAGGCUUCCGCCCACUGUGCAAUAUUCCCCACUGCUGCCUCCCGUAGGAGUCUGGGCCGUAUCUCAGUCCCAAUGUGGCCGGUCACCCUCUCAGGCCGGCUACCCGUCAAAGCCUUGGUAAGCCACUACCCCACCAACAAGCUGAUAAGCCGCGAGUCCAUCCCCAACCGCCGAAACUUUCCAACCCCCACCAUGCAGCAGGAGCUCCUAUCCGGUAUUAGCCCCAGUUUCCUGAAGUUAUCCCAAAGUCAAGGGCAGGUUACUCACGUGUUACUCACCCGUUCGCCACUCGAGCACCCCACAAAAGCAGGGCCUUUCCGUUCGACUUGCAUGUGUUAAGCACGCCGCCAGCGUUCGUCCUGAGCCAGGAUCAAACUCU